This 228-nucleotide long non-coding RNA is filed under the name Elaeis guineensis (African oil palm). RNAcentral's name for it is "long non-coding RNA (EGUI_LNC077375)". The record is from RNAcentral. Lineage: Eukaryota; Viridiplantae; Streptophyta; Magnoliopsida; Arecales; Arecaceae.
CAUGUACAGUACAUGAUCAGUGACUGAGGCUCCAUCCCUCAUCCGAGCAUUGAAAAUGACACAACUAGUUUUAUGCCUUUCAACAUCGUCAGGCGUGCCAAAGGAGUCGUUCAACAUUUGAAGCAUCUCAUGUGGUUGGGCAUUCUCGAACCUGUGACUGAACUCAUCAUUCAUUACCGCCAGCAUAAUGCACCGAAUGGUGGUGCGAUCGUUGAGCCACUUCUGAUA